AGUGAACGCUGGCGGCGUGCUUAACACAUGCAAGUCGAACGAGAACGGGUUAUAGCUUGCUAUAAUUGUCAGCUAAGUGGCGCACGGGUGUGUAAUGUAUAGGUAAUAUGCCUCUUACUAAGGGAUAACAAAUGGAAACGUUUGCUAAUACCUUAUACUCCUUAUUAACAGAAGUUAAUAAGGGAAAGAUUUAUUGGUAAGAGAUUAGCCUGUAUUGUAUCAGUUAGUUGGUGGGGUAAUGGCUUACCAAGACUAUGACACAUAACUGGUUUGAGAGGAUGUUCAGUCACACUGGAACUGAGACACGGUCCAGACUCCUACGGGAGGCAGCAGUGGGGAAUAUUGCACAAUGGACGAAAGUCUGAUGCAGCAACGCCGCGUGGAGGAUGACACAUUUCGGUGCGUAAACUCCUUUUAUAUGAGAAGAUAAUGACGGUAUUAUAUGAAUAAGCACCGGCUAACUCCGUGCCAGCCGCCGCGGUAA
This 484-nucleotide ribosomal RNA is filed under the name uncultured bacterium. Its description in RNAcentral is "partial 16S ribosomal RNA". It matches the Rfam family "Bacterial small subunit ribosomal RNA", at positions 29 to 523 of the family's 1533-position model. The record is from RNAcentral.